Ricinus communis (castor bean) is the source of this 5498-nucleotide long non-coding RNA. RefSeq lists it as uncharacterized. The record is from RefSeq and is a predicted model, not a curated record. The transcript has 5 exons. Lineage: Eukaryota; Viridiplantae; Streptophyta; Magnoliopsida; Malpighiales; Euphorbiaceae.
AUAUAUUUUGGUAGCCUGAGUAAUGGAAGUUAAUGAAUUAUUAUUUAAUUAGACACAAAAGAAGAAUUUACUAUUUAAACCCCACAAUUAACAAAUUUCCUGUGCAUAUAUAUAAAUCAGGAGUACUGUAGCUUCUUCUUUUUAUCUGAGGGGCCUAAUGGUAAGUUUGACUGUUGCAAGAUAUUGCAAUGAGGCCCCUGAGCAAUAUCUCUCACCGAUAGCUCCCCUCACUGCUAACGCUGCCACCAUUCUCUUCCAUUCUUCUCGUUUCGACCACUGUUCGACGUCAAAUGACUAUCGUGGAGCCUCCUCAACAUUGUGAGCUCAUCCCCACCAUCAGUUUCACCUGAAAAUACUAGAGAUUGAUGAAGCAAGGUGGCAAGAAGCUUGCCUCUUACUGUCGUCGCUAGAACACCCCUAUGACGGUGUUUUCUGGUCAAAUCGAGACCGGAAUUAGUUUUGUCGCCCUUAAAAGCCUGUGUCUAGACAUUGCAGUUGCCAACAAUGCCUCUUGGUCGGUGAUCAGAAGUGGACUAGCCUUGUCGGAGAUAUUCGGUUUUUGGAUCGUUUAAUGACCUUUCAGUGGUUGUUAGGCGGAAGUAACCAUAUAUUUGGACUCCCCAUGUUUUGAUUUACAAUUUGGUACCUUCAGAUUGAAUUCUCGUCGUCGUCGAAAUUUUCCAGCGAUCGAGUUCGGUGACCUCAGACGCGUGCCGGCAGGCGAAAUUCUAAUUUGUGCUUUUGGGCGUCCAUGUGACCGUAUCAAGUGAUUGUUAGUAUUCUCGCAGUUCUUAUCUAGCAGCCCGACUCCUUCAUCAUCGGGUUGAUGUAAUUGAUUUUGGUAUGUUUGACUUGUGAAAUUUUAGAUUCUCCACAGUAGAAAUUUUAGACUUAUCAAUUUGUAAUUUUAUAUAAAUUCAAGUCUCGCCUAAUUAUGCUGGCGGACCUAAUUUAAAUUUAUAGUACCCGUUGAUUUAAGAGUAAUUGUGGAAAAAGUGCAUUGGAUUGAGUCCGGAUUCUAAUUUGAUUGAGUUAGUGAAUAGUCAGGCUUACUACGAGAUUUGGUGGCCUUAAGCCUACCCAUUCUCUAGUGUCAGUCACGGGCCCACAGAUCGGGUCGUGAUAGUCUACUUAUAUGUUUGAGGACUUCGCCUGCUAAAAUAGGGACCACGCCAAAUGAUUUGGGAGCCACGUCUGAUGAUUUGGGAACUACGCCCGAUGAUUUAGUGAUUGCAGAGACCUCCCUCUAGCUACUUUCUAUUCCAAGAAACAAUAUUGUUGUUUUGGGCCGAUCUGGUAAUUUUUCACUUGGGUUGAAAUUUCCCACAUUGGUGCAUAAUUUGACUUAUUCUAAUUCUUUCCAGAAGCUAUACUGGCAUUUGGCCCGUGUAGGGACUAAGAUGUAAUUUUACCGGAUCAAGGACCAAACUUGUAAUUUUUUCAAAACUCCCCCUCGGGGUAUCAAUUGUGCUUCUAUGUAUCUUUUGCAGACUUGUAUAAACUUUUGGACUAAAAUUCAAUUUUGGCAGGUCAGGGACCUAAAUGACAUUUUUGCCCCUCCUUAGUACAUACAUAUAGGCUUAUCCAUUCUUCUUUCUUCACCUUACUCAUUUUCUUAAUUUCUCUCUAAAGCUUCUUUUGUUCUUUCUUUGAUUUUUUGCUCAUUUUUCAGCCAAUCUCCACAAAAUGAGUCUCCAAAUGGCAAGUUCCUCUUCUAAACUUACUAGACGAACCCUAGGUGCACCAGAUUGGGAGUUUACCGCUUUGAUUUUCUGACAAAAUGACCUUGGGCUUGUGAAAGGAGAGGAGAUUCCUCUUCUAGCAAAAUUGAGCACACAUAGCGCCUUCUGAGCCAUUGGAGAGGUAAUUUCUUGACCUAAACUUAUUUUCUGCAACUUAGAAACACAGUAUGCAUGUUAAUCACUCAAAAUAUAUACAAAUUUGAAAAAAAAACUAAAGGGAUUUGAGAACCCUCAGCUAUACAGCAAUCGGCUAUAUGUACAGUUGAAUCAGCUGUGCGUAUAGCUAUCAACACUAUGUAGUGCCGUAUAGUGCCGAUUCGGCUCUACACAAUACAAACGGUUGUAUAUAGGCAAGACAAAGGUAUUUUAAGGUUUUUUCAUGAAAAUAACACUGGAUAAACAUAUUUACCUUCUUAGAGUCUUUUGCAUGUGCAUGAUACUUAAAUACCUAUUUUAUACUUUUCAAGGCAAUGUAGUGUCGAUUCGGUUCGUCGAAAACUUCUACAAUGCACGUGAGUAGUUUGACAAGCUACCUAGCUCGGUUCAAGGCAGGAUUAGGAACACUGGCUUCUGCCAGUUCGUGGCCACACUUCUUUCGGUCACUAGGAGAGUCCAUGACUCAAUUUAUGCUUUGCUAGAGAGAUGGAUGGAUACAAUAGACACCUUUCAUACUCUUGAUGGUGAGCUAACUCUUUCUCCCCUUUCAUUUUCUGCUAUCAUUAACAUCGAGUUCUUCAGCACGCCCGUGCCUUUUAAUGAUGCGAUCCAUUAUCGGCAUCCCGAGGCUCGAGAGCGCUCCAUCAUUGACUUGCUAGGGUUUUCUCCGACGCUUAAAAAUGCGAGAUGCCUUGCUUACUAGUGCAUCCCUCUCUACUUCCGGGGCUUCAUUCCUCGGAAUGCUCAGGAGUUUGACUAGAUGACUUGAGCUUUCUUGGUGUACCUUUCUGGUACGACCUUAUCAGUGACUCUAGAAGCUCGCUGAAUUUUCACUAUCUAGCACCCUUGUAAGACCUAUACCAAGUUUCAUCUUAUGACAGAGGGUCUGCGGCCCUCACAUACCUUUAUCAUCAGAGGGAUGUCAUCAUCCGUGGUGGCAAAAGGAUUUGCAAUUUCUAGCACGCGAUCCACAUAAGUUGUCUUGACUUCUUUUCUUUUAGUUGAUUUAUAUAAAUAUUGUGUGCGCUAACUCCUUACUUUUACAAGUUUGGUCUUUGAAGAUCAGCCUCCUAAUAGGCUCACAGCCCAUUUGCACCUCGCGAGCUUUUCCUCGUUUGAGCCGUUGGGGCUCGAGCAGAACAGUAGCCUAGAAGUGGUCAUAGGUUCACGUGCACUGUACGUGGAUCAACAGCCUAACCUAGAAUAUGGUAAACAUAAUUCAUUAGUUAUACUCAUGUUUUAUUUAUAUUAUCGCCUACAUUUUCUGUUUUAUAAAUCCACAGUGAUUGGUUGGGGGAACGCGACCAAUGGAAGCCUUAUAUGUUGUACAUGGCUGACCUCGAACUAGGAGAGUGCUACUAGCAAGGCUGCCUAUCGGGCUUAGUACCUAGGUGAAAGGAUUUAUGGUUGGGAGCAUGGUCACAACAGGCGUCGGAUUCUUUUGCCUCUUCCUCUUUCCAUGUUAUGGAGCUGGAGAAGAGCUGGCAGAGUGCUUGAAUGGGUAUGACGAGCUUGAGGAUUUAACCAUCCGAUCAUGACUUAUUAAUUACACCUUAUUCAUCACACAAUUGAUAGGGAUUUCACCCUUUAGUGAUGACACCACUGUUCGGGCCCUUGCUAUCCGAGAGCCAACUAAAGGAUGGUCUUCUCGGUGCAGCCAGCCUUCCCAUGUCGCAGUCUCAUCCGCUAGUGUGACUUCUGAGGCACUACCUACGGCUACGUCAGAUGUGGUCCCCGGGGCUGUCUGAUUCCCUCAUAAUUCGAUGAUUUCUUAUUGGAGUCCACUCUGUGUGAUACAGCACCAUCUCGCUAUGAAUCAGUAUUUCCCUUCAGAGUUCAUCCCGAGCAAUUGCACCCAUGUUCAAAGAGACCAGUUUGAGCAUGUACAUCGACUGGUUGGGGCGGCGAGGAGACAGUUCUUCAUCCUUGGCGAGGAUUGGUGGGACCAUGAGGGACUACAGGGGCAGUUAGACGACUAGUAGCAUUAACUUGAUGCUCAGUAAUGACGGAUUGAUACCCUGACUCUCCAGCUGUCAGCCUUACAGACCCCAAGGGAUGGAUGUUGAAUCCGACGAUGAGAUGGAUAGUCUAGGAGGGAACUCCGGCUUUUGACUUCCCUUUGCUUGUACCUUUUCUUUUUCUGAUUGUAUGUAAGGCCUGAAACCUUUGUGUAGCCUUUUAUUUUUUGAAGGUAUAAAAUGUAUUACCUUUUUUAUUUCUCCUAUUUCUCAUCUUUAUAAUUCAGUCUUUGUAUAAAAUCUUGUGCGACAAAUUACAUCAGGAGGCCAUACAACCAAAUCUAUUUUCUAUUAUUUUUUUUACUUUUGCCUUAACUUUUGCCUAAGCUGCCCUUUUGGGUUUUCAACUUAGCAGACUUUUGUCUUAACUUUUACCUAAGUCGCCCUUCGACUUUUCAACUUAGCAGACUUUAUUUUUGCCUAAGCCGCCCUUUUAGAUUUUCAACUUAGCUUUUUCUUUUUUCUUAUUUUUUCUUUCUUCUUACUUAUUUUUGUAGAUUUGGCUACUUCAAAUAUUGAUUUCCCUUAGCCUUGCUUGAUUCGAGAACUGGCUAUUUUAUCUUAAGGAUGUAGAUGCAAAUUAUGCAAAAAAAAAAUAAAUAUGUUUUUUUUUCAUAUCUCAUUUACUUUGCUUGGAACUUUUAGUUUUUUUUUUCUCAGUUAGCAUGUAGAAUGACAAAUAGACAUACAUAUGUUUGAUAACAAUUCAAGAUAACUUUAUUCAUUCAAUAAAAGCCCAGAUGGGAAUAUUUUGAUUUCUCACGAAAUAACUUCUGUUAUCAGCCAGUCUUUUGAGAUGUUCUAGCUGACUAUUUCUCUCUUUUGCCCUGACUUUUUUCUGACCAACCUAUUCAGCUUUUAUGAUUGGCAAACUAUUUUUUCUAUUUUCCUUUUCCACAUAUGGUAUUUCUUGAGACAAUCUAUAUUUAUUGGCUCAAUGACUUAUUCCUAUCUAGGCCUGAGAUUUUGGCUGCACCUCUAGGCAGAAUCCUCUUGACCAAGUAUAAGUUUUCCUAGUUUAGCCUGAAAUUUCCUCUUGGGUCGAAUGUGGUAGGUCUUGUAUGUUUAAAAACCAGAUCAUCAGCUCUAAUCUUUUCUGGCUUUACUUUCUUAUUGAAUGCCCUAACUAUCCUUUUCUGGUACAACUGCGUUUAGUAUAUUUCAUCAUUUUCUCAUCAAUCAAGGCUAGUUGUUGGUACCUUUGCUCAACCCAUUAAUACUGCGGUAUUUCUGCCUCUAAUAUAAGUCUCAAAGAUUUCAAUUCUCACUCAACUCGCAAUACCGCCUCAGUUCCAUAAAUCAUAGAGUAUGGUGUCUGUCUAGUCGACGUUCGCUCAGUUGUCCGAUAUCCCUAAAGCGCGAAGGGUAAUCAAAAUGACCAAUCCUUCUAAUUCUAUACAAUGUUUGAAAGUAUCUUCUUUAGAUUCUUGUUGGCUGCCUCUAUACGGAGAAGACCUAUGAUGCCUCGAUCUUGUAUUCCGCCAGUAGGUCUGAUGUCUCACCCAUAAAUUGCACCCCGUUAUCCGUCAUAACAUGGUGAGGGACCUUGUAUUUGCAGAUCAGGUUUCUUUCUAUGAAUCUG